RNAcentral lists this non-coding RNA (91 nucleotides) under uncultured Pseudomonas sp. RNAcentral's name for it is "S-adenosyl-L-homocysteine riboswitch". It matches the Rfam family "SAH (S-adenosyl-L-homocysteine) riboswitch aptamer". Lineage: Bacteria; Pseudomonadati; Pseudomonadota; Gammaproteobacteria; Pseudomonadales; Pseudomonadaceae. The record is from RNAcentral.
UGUCCGAGGGGCGCUGCAGCAGGCACCAGUUUCUGGUUGACCUGUCAGGCUCGGAUGGGGCGUUUUCACAGAAACGCAUCAACGGCGCCCA